Long non-coding RNA from Cygnus olor (mute swan), 6423 nucleotides. RefSeq lists it as uncharacterized. NCBI's taxonomy places the organism in Eukaryota, Metazoa, Chordata, Aves, Anseriformes, Anatidae. The transcript has 3 exons. The record is from RefSeq and is a predicted model, not a curated record.
GGAAAAAACACGCAGAACAGUGUUUUGCAAGCACAGAUGAGCUUCUGAGAGACUGAGUUCCCUUCGCAGGGCCCACGCUUCCAAAAUUUGUUUUCAUAUCCCAAAACUCUCCCCUCCGAGCAUCUCUGGGAUCAUCUCAGACAGGAACACGCGGCUGCUGCUACUGCAGCACCUCUCACCAACGCCCCCCACUGCUCCCACUCAGCAGAGCACUCACAGAAAGUUAAUUCUCCCCCUACAGAGCAUUAGGCCUCUUUCUCACAUUCAAUUCAUGUUUUCUGUCUGUCACUAGCAACAAAAAAUUCUUAAGUUAAUAUGUAAAGCUUAUUACAUAUAUUACAUAUCCUCUUUCCUCAAGGAAAGUAACAUGCCAACGAUUACUAAGCCAUCUGAGUGCACUACACUGAGCUGCAGAGAAAGAAAAGUUUAAUUAGGACAGGAAAUAAAAGGUGGAAAAGCAACUCGUGAACACCCACAUAAAUAACUCACUGCUAAAUCAGUGCUCAUGAACUAGUUCUUUAAAUCAUUCUUAGCUGCACCCUUCCUUACUAAGUGUUAGUUAAAGUAUUAUAUUGGUUGAUACAAAGAUAAAGUCUAGCUGCCUUUUUUUUUUUUUUUAAAAAACUUUGGGAACAGAUAGCAAAGGUUGUGUCUUUUCCUUUUUCUUUUUUUCCUUCUUUGAUUCCAAAAACACCCUGACACAUGGCGAGGGUUCUUUGAAAGAUGCUGUGGUCCUUCUCAAAUAAAAGAAUUUCUUUUCAACUGUUAUGCUCCCAAACCCUGCUGAUUGCAUCACUUCUGGACUGUUUUCCUUCUGCAGCAGGAGUACAAAAAUGAGUUCUUAUCCUUAACUGCACCUUUCAUACAAUACAGAGGGUAUUUGCCAUUGCUAUGCUAUUAAACUCAGGAAGAAAAUAUAGCGGGGUAGGUGUUAAAUGCAAAGCAUUCCUAUAAAAAUACAUUCUUACUCCGCAUAUUUGAUAUUCCAGAAGGUGAAAGUGAAGAAAGCAAAAAUAUUUGUCUUCCUGUUCAGUUUUUCUCAAGAACUAACUUUCAUUCUGAGCUGGUCUUCAGUGAAAUCUUUCCAGCAUCAGUCCUCUGCAGAGACAAAGCACAAUCCCACCUCCUCACGGCUACCUUCUGAGACAAUCACAGGUUAAACACCUCACUAUGCUGACAGUUACUGGUUUCAAAUGGAAGUGCAUCUUUCUCCAGUUUUAGAAGAGCACUCAACACCUGCGAGAGUGGUUUUGUCCUCUUUCCUUUACCAAACACAUGGAUGCUUAGAAUUAGUUUGAGCACAUGGAAAAAGGAAUUCUCUGUUGGUGAUUCAGAAGAUUGGGAAAUCGUUGAUGCCCUGAAGUAGGCAAGGCCAGGGAACACGAACGGGCAAAAGAUAGGAGGAGCGAGGAGGAAAAAAAAAGGCAGAUCUAUGCUCAGCUACCGGCCUGCAACAGCACCGCACAACCCACGAGGAGGUUACGCUGUGCCACCACACCAGAGGCUUUGCCAAGGGCCUGGGGGAAACAGGGCUCUGGCCAAAGGAGGUGGCAGGGACCUGGGCACCGAGCUGGGAUGUGGCAGCAGGUAGUGAGGACACAGGCAAGUGUACGGGCAGGAUGGUGAGGGCACAAGGCGGCGUGCAGCAGGCUUGGGCAGGGUGGUCGGAGAGGCAGCCUGGCCCGGCAGAGGGCACGGCAGCACUGCGCAGAGCCUGAGGCUGGGAAAUGCUGCUUUGGCCGCUUUUCCUUCCUCCCAGCCCUCAUGUUUUAGCUGAAUCCUGCAACAGAGAGCUGGAGGGGGCGCAGGGAGUUUGUUUGCAUUCCUGCGGCAGGAAAGGUGCGAGUUUUUUCUCGGCUUAACUCUGCACCUGCCAUUACUGUGCACAGCCAAAUGUGCAGGUAGAAGGCAUGGGCACUGAAGCCAUGAGACAACACACUGCAAACGAGGAGUCUUGGGAAGGGGGAAGAUUGAGGAAGGGGCCUUCACUGCCCCACUGGCAGACAUAGGGCUCGCUCGGCUUGUCCUGCACCCCUUGCAGGUGCUGUGCUAGGAGCAGGGAUGGCACUGAGGCUUCUCUCCUGUCCCGGGAUCCCUACCAUGCAGGCGUGAGGUCCUGGCAUAGGUGAACAUCCAUGGGAAGCUGGACCCGGCCUCGGGGCUGCAGGAUUCCUCCAGAAGGCAUGGUUACCCCCGCUGCCGUUUCCACCCCCUCUGCCGUUUUCCCUCUGCAGGAUAAUGCUUAGUGUCCAGAAAAACAUGGGGAAUCUUCUCAGGAAUUCUGUUUGCUAUUUUAAGCAAGCUUCUCUGUGCCUCCUGAUAUCACCACUUCCUCAUCCUCACCAGAAUAAUGCAAGGACAAUGAUUUUAAUCCUUCACAAAAUGUCAGCAUUAAUGGCUUUGAGUGUGCUGGAAAAGUGCCUGUCAAUAACAGCGGGGUUGGUGUGACUGUGGGACUCAUCCAACCUCCAAAUAAACCUGCACAGCCUGAAGGUUUUGUCCCAGACAUAUGAGGACAGUUAAUGUGGAGUUUCAUGUUGUAAUUCUUUUUUACCUGGUGUUUGGUAGAAAGAUCAUCACGAUCUCUAAAACAUGAAUAAACAAAUAGAAUCUCAUUAAAUUAAUGCCACCAGACAGCAAUCUUUCUUCUUGGAGUUGGGUGUCUAGUUGCACCUUGCAUAAAAUACACUUGUCUUCUUCCCUCUCACACGUGGCAAACUUUUCUUUCUUCCCUAUAUUUUUUCAAUACUGAACUUUGCAAGCUAGCCAAACUGUGUGAAUGUUGAGAAGAAGUACACAGGGGCUACACACAGGAGUACACACAGAUGUGGCUUCCAAAGGACUUUUAUCAGCCAGGUUUGUGAGUUCAGCGUACAGUUGUAGCUGUCCUGAGCCACUGAGUGCCGCCCCUACCUUCACCAGGACCCGGCAGACUGUUUCUUCUCUGCAUUCGAUGGAAGCAGGUGCCCUCUCUCUGGGCAUUCUUGCAUCUGCAGGUUUCUAUUUCAUACCAGCUCUCCUGCCUUCUUUUCAUUUGGAAGCCUUUCUACGUCCCCAGCCUCCCUCAACUGCUCUCUGAUUCUCUUCCAUGUUUUGUUUUUCCAAAUAAAACAAUAGCUAGAUUGCAAGAGGUCAUAUAUCAUAACACAUGCAGUUUCUUUACAGGUCAGUUCUACAUUGGUUACAUUUCUCAAUCCCUGUAAUUUAAGCUGAUGGUUAACUUCAUGACUUAAUUCUUUACAAUGCCUGUGAGCUUCUUGCUCAGUACGUUGGUGUGUAAUGACUCAGAAUUAUGGCAUUUGAUGCAUGUACAUCCAGAAUCCUGUUACUGGCCAUUUAAAUACCCAGGGGUUACUCGUGUCCCAUCUCUGAUCCCGGUAGCAAAUGCAUGUAAUUCCAGAAUCCAGGCUCAUCAGUUGUGCAUUACCCAAAGUCCCUACCUUUGGAGCAGCAUCAGCGUGGAAGCAAUGUAGUUCAUGGAUCUGGCUGCUAAAGCAGCGUGCUUCAAACUAGUAUGAUAACAGAGUAAUUCCACUGAAUAGUUAAUUUGGGGGAUAGAGGAAUGAAUAGUAAUUUUAGGUAUAUGCCUAAUUUUAGCUAUAUAAAGUGUAGUACACUUAAUCUGUCAUUAAAAUCAUUGUUUCACCUGUGUUCGGGAUGAUGUCCAGGUGGCAUAGCGCUGUACCAAAAAGCUGUUUGCCAAAAAGAUGCUUCCUCGUUCCCCCUGCCACACCCCUGGUCUGAAGCCAGCAGGCCACAGGUGAUCUCCGUGGCCACGAUCUACGUCGUUGCCGUCCUUUGGCUCUGGACCUUGUGCCCUACGAAAACAACCCUGAUAAAACCCCAGCCAUCCAGUCGAUCUUGCUGUCAGCGCCCAUGCUUUCACUUAACUUUGUGCAAAUAUUGGUUCCGAGUCGUGAAGAGGAGGGGCUUGGCGCGUGGGUUUGGAGCACAGCGCUCCCAAACCAGCAGUACGAGUCUCGGCAACGUGCGCUUGCCAAAGCUUUCACAUUGCUUGGUUUGCUAAUCUUCCAAAUUCUUUGCCUUGGGUAUAAUCCCACUAAAUAUGAUUCAAUUUGUCAACAUAGCUACCUGAUGACUAACGUGUGUUUAGCUGGUCAGCCCUUUUUUAUACAGUCGCUAUCAAGUGAGAUGGUGAGUGACAGCAGAUGUGGUUGGAAAAAUACCUUAUUUUUCACCCCAGAUAGCUCUGAGGCUGAAACUUGCUUGCUGUUUUCCACUGCCCCAGCUCAGCAAGAUUACUCUUUAUAAUGCAGUGCCUGUAGUUAAGGUGCAUUUAUAAUACUCUUUCACAUUGGCUGCGUUUUUCAUUCCCUAUAAUUUACAUAGCUGAAGGUUAACUUCACAGCUUAAUUCUGUAUUAUCCCUUCUAGUUUCCUGCUCAGGACAGGAAUAAAUCUGAGCCCGUUUCUGUCCAGCAGUGCGCGUUUGUAGCUCAUCGUAGCCAGCAGGGUGUAUUCACCCAAGUGCCCACGUCCCCGGUGUGUCUGGGUGGGUAAUCUCGUGUGCGUGACAGCGCGUUGUGGGGGCAGAGGUGACCGAUGAGCGGUCUACAUCUGAUCUCGGCUCUCCACCAUCGUCCUCCUGGGGUGAGGCAGCCCGUGGAAGGGCAGCGCUCGUGCUGCGAGGUGCCAUGCUCCCGGCCGAGGCCAGAGAGCCAGACCCCAGCCUGUGCAGUGAGCGAGGAGAUCAGUGUGCGGCCCCAGUGCCAGCGGUGCGGCGGCCUUAGGACUUUCUCUGCCCAUCCCGCCGUGCCUUCAGGGAAGGUGGUUAACGUUGCCUAAGUGUAGGGGAAGGCAGGGUGAAAAGUGCCCAGAGUUUCCCGGCCAGCUCUCACAACCUCCUUCUGGAAAUCCCCUUGUCCCCAGUAUUCCCCCAACACCGCCUGCACCCCUUGCGUCCCCAGCAAGGACGCUGCUCCCAGGCGAUACCUGGGGGCGGUGACGGCACCGAGAUAGCCCGACAGCACGGUGACCUGCAGGGAGGGGACACCACGGGGCUCCUGUCACCCCAGCACCGCCUUCCGAGCAGUGUGUGUCGUGGCUGUCCGGCUGCGAGGUGUGAUUUUAUUUACCUUUCCUAACGAGCCGGGGUUGUGGCUGGUGGGCCAGGUGUUGUUAUCACGGGGUGAGCUGCGUGUGUCACGCUUUUACGGUCAGAGGCAAACAAAAACACUGCGGCGCAGAGCGGUGCUGCGAGCGUCUGUGAAAACAACACCAGCGAUGAUGACUCACGGCUCUGUAAUGCCACGUUAAAUUUGCUAAAUGCAGCUGGCUUGUGGUGUAGCACGGGGACGGCUCAGCCCCAGCCCUGCUGCGGCCGCCCGCGCUCGGCUGGGAGCAAGAAUUUACAGAAUCAGAAAUGACAACUGAUCUGAGUAAAAUCUGCGGAUGUGAUUGAGUGUACACUGGGAGCCGUUUGUGGAAAAGGCAGCUUUUAUGGUGAUUUCUCACAUCUGCAGCCACAGAACCUGCUCCUGCACAGCACAGAGUCUGCAGAAGCACGUGCUGCGCUGUACGGAUGUGAAUGGCCAAGCUUGCGCUCGGUGUUAGGAGGAUCCUGCUGGGAAAACCAUCAGGAAGCCCAGUUAAAGUCAUGGGCAAAGCAGAAGGGCACAGAUGCAGGCACACACAGCAGCAGAAGAAAUGCAGAGCCAUGCAUUAAAGCCAACUGCAGUUACUGGGACAGAAUCCACUUUUGAAAGAUGUGUUUGCAUCCAAACCGCGCUCCAGCAGCAAAAGGUCUCCUGGACUGCUGCUGCCAUUGGCUGGUGAUGAACGGAGGCAGGAAAGAGAGGAGGUUCCUUUGCAAACUCACACAUGAAAAAAUAUUGCUGCUGUUGAGUUUGUCAGAUGGCGGCACUCGGGGCCCAGCUGGUGGAGCUGGGCAAGCAGCCCAGGAGAUGGAUUAUCCCGUAGGAGCCACCAAUGGGACCUGAUUCUGCCCUCAUCCAACCCCAUCAAUGCUUCAGGAGGUGUCAUUCGUCUUUGGGAGGUGUUGUGAGGCUGAGAUCACCUUCACGGGGCUUUGGGGGAGGUAACGUGUGUUGGCCUGGAGCAACGACCGCUGCUCUCCAGCUUGGGCUGCGGGCAGGCAGAGAACAGCAGCGUCCACCUCUGCUCCUCCAAGCUUGGAUCAUUGCACUGAUUCGGAGUGACCCCUGCCUCAGCUGCGAAGGAGAGAACCUGUAGGAAAGCUCAUGCUGAGCUCUGCCACAAGGCUCUGGUGUCCACACAGAGCUGGGCGAGCAGUGGGGGCCAGCCCUGACCUUUACUGUAGCAAGGGCGCCUCCGCUGCCCCCCUCCCUGUCCCUCUGCAGGGGCUUUUCCCGUGCAAUUCAGGUUGUUCCACGGAGCAGGCUCAGGGGCUGCCUGCUAAAUCAGACAAUUAAAUCCUUGAGUC